Molecule: small RNA, 511 nt
Filed under: Drosophila pseudoobscura pseudoobscura
Lineage: Eukaryota; Metazoa; Arthropoda; Insecta; Diptera; Drosophilidae
Description: GA31340
Source: RNAcentral
GCUCCAUAGGGGUAACAUCCCCUAAAAAAAAAUUAGUUUCGGUUAUACUAGUUACAAAAUUGUUGUGUGAAAAAUAAAAUUUUAGUAAAAUUUAAAAUGUGAACAAAAUCAGAAGAGCUCUACACAAAUCGGCACACAUAAUACCUCGUUAAGACUAAUAUAUAUAUAUCGGCCAACGCAAAUACACGGACACUAUGAUGCAACAAUACAGCUAGGAAAGCCCUGUAAACUGAUGUGACGCUCUCCGUAGGAUGGAACAAUUUCUACUUCCACGAAUCACAAGGCGACACUACUUAAUCUGGCGAACAAUCUACUCUGGUACACAGCCAUCCUUGACGGACAGCGUACAGCUUUUGACGGGCUUUCCUAGGUCUUUAUAGCGGUGACAUACUGGAGGUGACAUACAUACACGCAAAUAUUCACGCACUACACAUUCACAAUUUCUCGUUAAAUAACUGGAGGCUAAUGGCGAGACCUUUGGCAUGGCGAACACACAUUUUAAUGUUUGAAA